UCUAUAUAUGUGUGUGUGUGUGUGUGUGUGUGUGUGGGUACACUGCACACAGACCUCUUUUUGCAAACGGCACAUUU
RNAcentral lists this microRNA precursor (77 nucleotides) under Lepisosteus oculatus (spotted gar). Its description in RNAcentral is "miRNA (ENSLOCG00000020429.1)". The record is from RNAcentral. Lineage: Eukaryota; Metazoa; Chordata; Actinopteri; Semionotiformes; Lepisosteidae.